CAUGUAAUUUAUGAUGGGAAACACAUGGCCAUCACCUGACAUCGCCAGUGGCAGGAGAGAUGAUCUCAUAAUUGAUUUUAAUUUCUCCCCCCCACCCGUCAUGAAAGUUAAUGGACCCUUUGCCCCUCUUUUUUCAGACGGCCGCGCAAAACGUCAUACAAAAGUAUAAUGAAACGAAUCAAAACCCGGCGCUAACAAGUUCAAAUCACAUCAAGACCGCGGACUCAUCAAGAGUCAGCCGGUGGAUCACCCACACUGAAGCGGCAGCAGGAGUUUUCCUCUUAAAUGGUUGACAUCAGUCGCAUGAUUGAAGUAAAUGCGGAUUUAGACAGGGCAUCUGAGGCAGACCAGGUGCACCCCUGUGCACGUUUCCUUGCCGAGGGACAAAUGGCUGAGAGGGGGGAAUCCAGGUUAAGAAAGCAAAUAGCCAAACCAUGGAUUAGGUCCAACCCGUCGCAUUUCCAGCUCCACACCUUGGUUAAGUGAAAAGGAUGAAGGAAAACCACGCAGGAUUUUAAAUUUUCCUGAAACCGGAUUCCCCACCUCUGAAACGAUAUUGCUGCAUGGAUUCUCCGGAGUCUCCACGAUUGGAUCUAUUUGGCUCUCGCUCAUCCUGACCUCCACUUGCUUCUGCAUUUUGAUGGCACUGAAAAAUAUACAGACAGAAGAGCUGGUAUUCAGGAGUGAUUGUGUUAUUCACUCUGAGGGUUUUGGUUCAGUUUCAGUACAUAUCUACUUUAUUUAAUACUUUGUUCUAAGAGCUUUGGUUCUGCUGCUAUUCUGUUUUUUUCUGUUUUGCUUCCUUCCGUUAGUUUUUGAAUCUAUAUCUGAGUUUAGAUUACAAGUUGUCUUAUACAUUUCUAGUUUUGUUUAGAGUCACUGACCUCGUCUCCAGCUGUCAUGUUACCACCUCUUCUGUCUCUUGUUAAUGUGAAUAAGGCCAAUAAUAUAGCAUUUCCAGUAUUUGUACUGUGUGAUUUCCUCGGUUCUUUUCAGAUCUUUCUGGCUGAUUUCAUAUCUGCCUUAUUUAAGUUUCUGCCCCUUAGUUCUGCUUAGUGACUGUUCAGUCUUUUUGUUUCCCCUUGGAAACCAAACUCAUAAAAAGUUUCUUCUAAAUAUUCAUUGCAGCACUGUGAUAAAGUGUCAUGCUAUUAACCUGCAUUAUUUUUAAGAUCAUGGAAGAUAACAGAAGACGUUUAAUGGAUGACUUUAACUAUCUUAAACCAAUACUUUACAUUAGAAUGGUUUGUUUAGGUUGCGCCGCCAUUUACUUUAGUUGAAGUGAUUUAAACUUUUAUAUUUUCUCCUCCAUUUUGUCAUUGAAGAGGUGAUGGAAAUAAUAACUGAAUCGAUUCAACUUUGUAGCUUUGCUCCUUCAAUGUGGGCAAAGAUGUUAAAUGUUUCAGGACAACAAUUUAAUAAAACACCUGCCAUUCUGAAAAAACAAACAAACAGAAUUUGGUUUUCUAUGUAUGCCUAAGUUUCCCUUUGCAUGAACGCCUGGUGCUGUGUUUUUGUUUUUAGCUGUGUUUCUUUUCUGAAGAAAGCCUUAAAAGGAGCUUCUGCUCCUCGGAACUAUUUCUGCUGUUUUUGUUUUUCAUAGUACUUUAACUGUGUUUCUCUUUCAGAUGAAACCAGUAACAAGAGCCAUUGCUGCCAUGAACUCUCUUUAUUCUUCUUGUCUUUUCAAUACAAACUCCUCAUGGACCGGUGCUUUAUUGCACUCUGCGUCUCUUCCUCUCAGCCAGGCUGGGCUGAUGGCUGCUCAUAAUGAUUUGCUGAAUGCUGCUUCUUGUCAUUCCUGUCCACUGUCGCCACAUGCUUAGUUACUAAAGUAAAGUAAAAAUCACUGCAAUGUCAACUAUGCAGUAGUCUAAGUUCCCCAGCUUUCAUUUUACCAUUAAAUGAUUUACUGGGUUUGACUGUAGUAUUAUUAGAAUGG
Long non-coding RNA from Fundulus heteroclitus (mummichog), 1942 nucleotides. RefSeq lists it as uncharacterized. NCBI's taxonomy places the organism in Eukaryota, Metazoa, Chordata, Actinopteri, Cyprinodontiformes, Fundulidae. The transcript is spliced from 3 exons. The record is from RefSeq and is a predicted model, not a curated record.